AUCUCAGGUCUUUUCUUUGGGGGAAGUCUUGUUCUGCCGCCUUCUGUCCUAACCACAUCCCUGUGGGAGGGGUGGUGUAUUCAGCCCUCAGUGGGGUCCAGUUGUCCAGCCAGUCCUGGGAGCAUACUGAUCCCUGGCUCAGAACCCUGCCAUGGCUCCCCAAUGCCCGCCAGGUCCAACCCAAACCCCUGGUCCUGGGCCUCCCCUGCUCCAGGGAUCUCCACUUUGAGGAGAGGUGAGGGUGCCCUCUGGAGCCAGGCAUCCUGGUUUGAAUGCCAGUUCUGUGUGACCUCAGGCAAGUCGCUUAACCUCGCUGUGCCCCAGCGUCCUGCCUCACAGAGCUGUUGUGAGAAUUACAUAGGUUUAUAUAUGCAAAGCAUUUAGCACAGCACCUGCUCUGCAAGAAAGUUGUCAAUAAAUGAUAGCUGGAAAGGAUGUCUGUUUCCUGCCAGAAAGGACCUGAGAAAUGUCUUCCAAUGGGGCUUGUGGCUCAGCUCUCAGCUCUGGCCUUUCAGACUGAGCCAGCAGCUUCCAGGCCACCUGGGAGCUGGCUGGAGACUCAGAGUGCCAGGCCCCCUGGGGGUCCUAAAGCAGCAGGUGGGGAGAGGGGCCUGUACACUGUGGCCUGUAGCCAUUUGUGGGGUGGGAGUCCCCUAAGCCCCCAUCCCAGCCUCAGACUGGUCCACCACCUGCAUCCUCUGUCUUCUGGCCUUGCCAAGGCCCCUCUGCCUUGCAAGGCUCCUGCAGGAAGAAUGCCUGUCAACUCUGCCACCUCAGUGCCCACAGCUCCUAUUUUCCUAGAGCCUCAGUUCCUCAAGAAGAAAGGGAAUAAAAACACCCACAUCCAGGGAGGUCAGGGAUGAGCAGUGCACCACCGAGGCAGCCAGUCAGGGCUGAGUAUUGCUACUGGCUGCACCCCAGGCCUGGUGGGUCCCGCCUGCCAUGCUGGAGUCCCCGCAGGGAUGAGGGAAAGACCUGUUGAUGGAGGGGGGCUGGGAUGAACUCUGGGAGCUGAGAGGGAGCACAGUGACUGGAGCCGGAGGGUGGCUGGUGCUUCCCCAAAGCGGCCUGAAUGAGAGAGGAAGGAAGGGAGGGCGAGCUGAGCACACCCUGGGCCCCAGAGGAAGUUGAAAGCCAGGGCCGUGGUGUGACAGUUCAAGGGCCCUAUACCACAGCGCUCCACUCCACCCGCACCUGCUGACGUCAGUGGGAAGUGCAGGACCCCGGCACCCCACCCCACUGGCUCUGGGUCUGUGAGGCAGGGUCCCAGCCUGGAGCCUCCCCCGGCUCGUCUCUGCACAGGUGGGGUGGCUGGUGGUCCCUUGUGUCUUUAGGUCAGCAUUGCCCUCUCCCUGAAUGAAAGGAGCACCUCUUCAUCUCACCCCAUGGGCUCACCUCUCCCAGGUGUGACCCUAGAGUCUAUUAAACACCUGUUAUAUACCAGGUGGUGACACAUCCACAAGCUCAUUUAAUCCUUCACAAUACCCAGAGGAAGGCAUUUUACAGAUAAGGAGACCACCUCAGAGAGGUUCAGUAACCUGCCUGAGGUUGCACAGCUUGGAGGUGGCCCAGCUGGCCUUCCAACGCAGGCCCCCCCAACAUGGAGUUCCUCCCGCCACCUGUGGGCAGGUGGAUUCAUGGUGGAGGUGCCCUCAGGGAGCCGGAGCAGCCGGCCCUCUUGUUUGUCAAGGAGGAAAUGGACACCCAGCACUGGGAGUGAGUGCCCCAGGCCAUGCCACAGGCUCCUGGCAGAACCAGGCAGGAUUAGAGAACUUUCUUUUGGCACUGCCUGCCUGGUAGGAGGGGCUCUGCCGGGAAGUCUCCUUCCUUUACUGCCUCUGGGUCUCUGCUCAGAGGCUACCUCCACAGAGAGAAGCUUUUCAGGGCAGUUCCAGCAGAAGGAGAGCCCUGUCACCCUCAUCUCCUGGCCCCGCUUUAUUUUCUUUCAUGGCACUUAUACUGUCACUUGCAGUUUUAUGUGUCCAGUGAUUUGUUUAUUGUCUCCCGCCUUCCCUGCGACUAGAAUAAUGUGAGCACCGUGACUCCAGCAGGGUCUGUCUUGUUCCCUUGCUUAUACUGGUACCUGGCACACACUCAGCAGUGUUUUGUGGAAUGAAUGAAUGACCGAAUGAGAGGAGUCAGUAGGUAAAGGAUGAAGCUGAUGCUUACGGGGCAAGUUUGGUGUGAAGACAAACUUCUUAAUGGCAAGCUAAAUAGAUCCUUCUAGGUGGAGGAGGGGAAUGAGCAAUAAUUUAGAAAAGGGAAGAGGCCACGUACAGCCAUGUGGUCUGGUACACAGACCAUAAAGUGAGUGGUCCCCGCCCCCCGCCAGUUGUACAGUUCUCAACUCAUACAGCAGUACCUGGCGCCCCAGGGGAUGGGGAAGAACCCGACAGUCUUGGGCCCCUCGGCGGGGAUGAGCAGAGGCAGCUCUGCAGGUGCCUGCAGCUGGAGGAACAGGCUGUACCUUCCACGAGGACGCCACGUGGUCGUGGUUAGCAGUUUGCCAUCCGGUGGCGUUGUCACCACAGACAGUGGUCCAACCAGGGGGAGCAACUGUUAUGCUGUUAGCAAUCUCUGGUGCCUGGAGUGCCCAGCGGGACGCGGGUGGGGAAACCACCUUGACACACCCCACAAACACCGAACGCGGUGGACGAAGAUAAUCGAGACAGCGGGAGGGAGGGCUGUUUCCUGAGGCAGCUCUGGAGGCGGAGGACACUGUGUUCCGAGACGUCUCCACUGAGCAGAGGGCUGGCUGAGCGACCGGUCUCGGCCUCCCCCCCCUCCCCAGCCCCACAGGCUGGGCACAACAACAAUCAGCCUGUGGUGGUGGGGCCCGGCUUCGAUGAGUCACCUUGCCCACAGCGGGCCUUGCUGGGAGAUGUUAUCAGCGCUUCUGCUCACUUAAUUCCCUGGUUGACAUCACCACCGCCUCCAUCCUUUCCUUCUCGGCACUGCAGCCUGCAGCCUGGCGCAUCCUGGAAGAGAAGGCGGUGCAGGGCUCUUGCCAGGAGCUACCAGGGCGGGUAAAUUAGGACCCUCAGCUCUUUGGCCUUUAGCCUCCGGGAGCUUGGCUUAGUUCCUUGCUGCACACGGGCCUGGGUUCAUCUCCCAGGAAAUGCCAUCUGGAGUCAGGUCUGAGAGACACCGUCCCACUCCCGCCCCGUACCUGUCCCCUCCCUCCUGUUCAGAUGUGGGCCAAGCUGCUCCCCUGGGCAGUGUGUCCAGACCCUGGGGUCCAGUCCCCGAGUCCAGCCCUCCGCUGGCUCAAGCCUUCGCUCCUCAAUUCCAUCUUGUGCAAGCCCAGCUGCCUCUGACUGCGCUGCCUCCCUGUCCAGCCACCCUGCCUGGGGAUACAGCUCCCUCAGACAUCCUCCAGCUCCUUCCUCUGCCAUCCCCCGCUCUCGGGGCAGCCUCCUGGGAGCCCAAGCCAGUCCCUUCCCUCCGUAGCCCAGCAUUCCCUCUCUCCUCCCCUCAGUGUCACUGUUCCAGUGCUGAUCCAGUGUGGUCAGUGGCAUACGGAGGAUGCUAUGGGCUCAGCAGAGUGGUGAGUGACAGGGGUGACCAGAGACUGUGCUGUUCCUCCCUUUAGAGACGGACAGCAGGGGGGCGAAGCUCGGUGCCAGGAGAGAGGCUCAGGACCCGGUCUGUGAUGGGAGGCUGCCUGAGCCUGGCCUGCCAGGGAGGCGGUGAGGGAAGUGGGUGGGGAGGGUGGGGAGAAGAGCCAACCCUUUGAACUGCCCCAAGAGCAGCCUCUGUGGCCUCAGGAGACAGCGCCUCAAAUGUCGCUGCCCCGGGCCAGGGAAGGGGGAAGAGGAGGUUUCUUAACACCAGUCACUUUUACUCUAGUUAUUUGACCAAAACGAAUUGUUCUUAGAAGGAA
RNAcentral lists this long non-coding RNA (3883 nucleotides) under Sus scrofa (pig). RNAcentral describes it as "lncRNA (ENSSSCG00015070054.1)". Lineage: Eukaryota; Metazoa; Chordata; Mammalia; Artiodactyla; Suidae. The record is from RNAcentral.